RNAcentral lists this long non-coding RNA (4828 nucleotides) under Triticum aestivum (bread wheat). Its description in RNAcentral is "long non-coding RNA (TAES_LNC015286)". The record is from RNAcentral. Lineage: Eukaryota; Viridiplantae; Streptophyta; Magnoliopsida; Poales; Poaceae.
AAUCCCACAAUAACGCACGAGCCAAUCAGCACCACACGAUUAUCUAUCUACUUCUUCUACUACUAUUAAACAAUCAAACAAGAACUUUCUUACAUGCACCCCGCAAUUAAUCACACAAUAACGCACGAGCCAAUCAGCACCACACGAUUAGGCCAACAAGUCUCAAUCUAACGGCCAUCAUUAAUCCAAUACCUCUACAGUGUGCACUUAGCAUUUACCAAUGACUGACCGUACUUCACCAGGAGAGUAGUAGUCGAACAACCAGCCCCGCGCGUCCCCUACAAUCACGGAAAUCAGAUCGCAAACUAACAACCAACCCAGCAUCCCCUACAAUCACGGAAAAUCAGAUCGCAAGCUAAGGGAACUUCACGCCCUUGACCUUGACCCCACCGCCAGGCACAUACGCCGCCAACCAACGGCGUCUCCUGCCUGCGCAGCGACCACGCCGCACUGCACCGUCCCGUCACCUCCGUGCACGAUCGCCAUCGCCGAUUGUUGCCGCUCGUAGCGUGGCAUCCGUCCUGCGAGAUCGCCAGUGCCCAGGAGAGAGCCUGCCCCGGCACCCGCACCGCCGUGCCCGCCCUGCACUGGCACCCACGCCGCCGCGCACACGCCCGCCGGGGCAGGGCGCCAGCGCCUGUCGCGUCCCCUGAACCAGCCGGGCACACGCAGCUGUGAUUCUUCCGAGGACUUCUUCAGGUUCGACUUCUUCCUUUGACUGUUGCAGCAUUACUCAUGAUUAGAUUUUUGAUAAUAGAGUUCUAACUAAUAAACAGUUGCACAGCAAAAUGCUAUAAGCCUUUCAUUUUACAUACUGACUAUAUGAGGAUAAUGAAACUGGAUUUGUGUUGCACAAAUUGCCUUUACUAUAUCAAGUAAAUACAGGAAAGUGACUUUACUAUAUCAAGUUCCAUCAACAUGACCACCAACACAAUCAUUCUACAAAGUAAUAUAGCAUCUAUCCAGCUCCAGGGUGUUACAAUGAAUUGUAUAAAUCUGUAUAAACCCACUUUUGCACACCACAUGAUUGAGAAUGUGCAUGAUUAUUUAAACUGAAAACAUCUGGAGUACACGUGAUCCAUUCUAAUUCUGAAAACUAAAGAAGUCGCACUUCCUGCUCCCUGAGUACAAAAUGGUGCAUUUGAAUGUCUGUUUGUUGGAACUACGCAACUUUAGCAUAUCUUUUUUUUCAUGUGCAUCUCCUAAUAGGUGAGAGCAUCAACAACAUUUUGUUGAUCUAUCAUGAACCGGUUUAGAAUAUAUGUUUUUGCAGGACUAAUGCUUGUGGUAAGCCAUCUAAGAAAUAUUUAGAGUUGCCGGCAAAGGUAAUCUGGAAGUAUGAUUUAGUAAACAAAUAUGCCCGACCAUCACAUCAAGGAAAUGUUCCAUAUACAACUACAUGAAUUUCUUAGAACAAUAAAAAUAUUGUGCAAUGCAACGAAGAUUCAAAACAUACUCUUUGAUUCAGACUUGUUGCUCCCAUCCCCUUUCGGUACCAAAAAGUGUUCAAGUUUUGUACCUGAUCUGGAAUCCAAACCCCUGGCUUGCUGAAUGACUCGAGCAGGUCAGAACCACAUAGCAGCAUUACCUUGACACUUCCUGAGACAAAACGCAAGUCGUAAACAACUGAUUUAUAUACAGUGUUAUAGUACUGAUACAAUUGGUGAUCCAACAAUGUGAGAGAAGACACUACUGUGUUGCAACAACAAAAAUCAUUGUCACAUACCUUGAUCAGCUAAGCCAUCCUUGCACAGAAGAAUUCUUAACUCUUGAGAGAAUGGUCAAGGUACGCUGAUGACCUUUCUGCAUUGCCUGUAUCAAGAACACAAGAAUGUGUCCAUCAAAUGAACACAUCAUCCGAACUGAAAGUACCUUAUGUGAUAGCGAAAAUCCAAUGGUACGCAUGUACUGAUAACAUGAAAAAUCAGGUUAUUAUGCAUGGAUCAACCAUCACGAAAGACGAGCUUCAACAUGCCAAUUCGCAGAGGCGAAUCCGGUGAGCAAACGGCAAGAGGUCAUGAGCAGCCCCAAAUUGCAAAUUCGGUCAUGAGAAUGUGGUGUUAACACAAACCCAUACACAUUUCCAGUUCCGCAUAGUACCUUCUUCUUGUUAGCAUCGGUUCACCAGGGACAUGUAUCCAUUAAGGCAGUAACAUCCCAGCACCGACUACCCUCGCUGCUGCAACUCAUCCUUUGCAAGCUCUGUACGUAUGAAACAAGAGAUGGGGUAAUAUGCAAUCUAUUUGUUCUGAUUCUCAGCAUGUUCUAAUAUUAACACAACACUUCAGAGUUGCUAAACAGAUUUAACAGGUGUUGCGGCUUACCAAACAUGCCUGUGCAUGUAGGUGGGAAGGUUGAAGCUCCCGGUGGCCACCAGCACAACACCACCCCGCCUUCCCCCGUCUCUGCGGUCAUCCAAUUGAAUAAGGGAACGUAUGGUGGACUAGGAUGACUCUGAAUAACGCAAGUGAAGAAAUCCAAGAUCAGGUUCUUUUCUUUCUGCUUACAGAUUUGGAUCCGUGGACAACUUCUCUGUGGGGACGGGAACUUCCACCUCCUCCAAGGCCAUGGCCACGGCCGUCCUCUUCAAAUUCCCAGCUGAGCAAGAAGCCGGCACAAAAUCUUCGCUUCUCUCUUCCUGGGGUCGGCGUGCGCCCCCCGCCUGAGAGGUCGGUAGUCCGGCGUGUGCGGUAAGGGGCCGGCAUCACCGGCGAGCAUGCCAAGCUCGACCGCCUCCUCGAGCACUUCGAGGGCCGAAUUCGAAGGAGGAGCGAGGUGGAGUAGGGGCAUGCACGUCCGCCGGCGUGGGUGACGAAGGGGAGGGGCGGCCUUACAGGGAGCGCCGGCUAUGGAGGGAGGGAUCUGGCGACCAUGGAAUAUUAGGGAAGGGAGGAGAAAAGACAGGGGCGGUGGAAUGACUGGCUUUUUUAGUACAACUACAGUAUAUACUAGCAGUGUCCAGAGAAGGAUUGUGAGUGACUGUGGCGUUGUCCAAACCAAUUUUCUUUCAUCCUCUAGAAAAAUACUUUUCUUUUAUAGGGCAUGUUCGAUUUUGGGUGCCAUUUCUUUAAUCAUCACGGCUUGUUAUGAUCAUGAUGAUCAGUUGAUGGUUUAAAAAGUUUCGUAUAAAUAUCUAUAAAAAUUAAAUAAAACUGAAUAUAUUUUAUGUUUUGUAAUCCUGUAGGUCAUCUUGUGGAGUACUUCACCGGAGAUAUAAAUUUUAUGGGUCUAUGAAAACUAACUAACUCUGAUUACUACUUUAUAGGAUCAUAUGACAUAUUUUAGAACAAAACUACCUGUCAUUUUAGUGGAUGAGGAAUAAAAUGAUGAUAUUACAAGAAAUCAAGACUUGAAAGAUGACGGAAACAACACAGACCCCAAAGAUUGAAUGAUUAUUGAUANNNNNNNNNNCCCCAAAACAUCGAACAUAUCACCCGAAGUUGAGCUCAUCUCACAAUCAUUUAUCCUUUCACCGACUGUCACUCCAACAAACGAUGACUUAAUAGAGUAACUUUGUUCAUCGGUAUGAUUGAUGAUGUCCCUUUACUAGAGUAAGACAUAUUUUUUCAUAUUUUAAAGUAUGAAGGAAAUGAAGUUGACGAGGAAGUUUUUGAUAUAUAUUUUAAAGUACGAAGGGAACCAAGCUCAAACCAAUAUCCCAUCGGAUGGAGCACCAUAGAUCGUAUCAAUAAAUGGACCUUCAAGAGAUAAUGGUGUUUAGUUGUGUUUUUUAAAUUAUGUAACAAAUUAUAAUAGAAUUAUGUGAUCAUCAAUGUUAUAUGAAGACAUGUUUAUGGGUCGUAUGUUACACGCGCGCUCAUAUCACUGAGCAUAAGACAGAUUUGAAUGGGUCGGUAAAAAACUCGCUAGAAGAGAAAAUAUACUCAAAUAGAUGUUUUUAUUGUAGAUUAUGAUACGUGCGUUGCACAUGCAUGUGUACUAGUAGCAAAAAACAAUCUAACCACACUCUCAAAUUUGAGAAAAUCCGAACUUUAUUCUUAUGUGUAAAUGUUCACACUAACAUUGGAAUAUCAAAUUGUCGGUGUACAAAAAGAGGGGUACACUUUUUGUACCCCUAUAACUGUGCACGGGCAGUCUGAGUCUACUACUAUUAAACAAUCAAACAAGAACUUUCUUACAUGCACCCCGCAAUUAAUCCCACAAUAACGCACGAGCCAAUCAGCACCACACGAUUAGGCCAACAAGUCUCAAUCUAACGGCCAUCAUUAAUCCAAUACCUCUACAGUGUGCACUUAGCAUUUACCAAUGACUGACCGUACUUCACCAGGAGAGUAGUAGUCGAACAACCAGCCCCGCGCGUCCCCUACAAUCACGGAAAUCAGAUCGCAAACUAACAACCAGCCCAGCAUCCCCUACAAUCACGGAAAAUCAGAUCGCAAGCUAAGGGAACUUCACGCCCUUGACCUUGACCUCACCGCCAGGCACAUACGCCGCCAACCAACGGCGUCUCCUGCCUGCGCAGCGACCACGCCGCACUGCACCGUCCCGUCACCUCCGUGCACGAUCGCCAUCGCCGAUUGUUGCCGCUCGUAGCGUGGCAUCCGUCCUGCGAGAUCGCCAGUGCCCAGGAGAGAGCCUGCCCCGGCACCCGCACCGCCGUGCCCGCCCUGCACUGGCACCCACGCCGCCGCGCACACGCCCGCCGGGGCAGGGCGCCAGCGCCUGUCGCGUCCCCUGAACCAGCCGGGCACACGCAGGUGUGAUUCUUCCGAGGACUUCUUCAGGUUCGACUUCUUCCUUUGACUGUUGCAGCAUUACUCAUGAUUAGAUUUUUGAUAAUAGAGUUCUAACUAAUAAACAGUUGCAC